This 222-nucleotide long non-coding RNA is filed under the name Solanum tuberosum (potato). RNAcentral's name for it is "long non-coding RNA (STUB_LNC000597)". Lineage: Eukaryota; Viridiplantae; Streptophyta; Magnoliopsida; Solanales; Solanaceae. The record is from RNAcentral.
AUCAGUGGUGAGUCCUCAUUCUUCGAGGACUAGUGACAUGUUUAUCUUUAUUGCUUUUAGUCUUUAGUUUCAGUUUUGCUAGAUCUAGUUGGGGCAUGUCCCAACAUUUCUAGUCAGUUUAGAGGCUUAUUUCAGACAUAGUUAGAUUCAGCUUAGUAUUGAGUUAAUAUCUUCAUUGUAUUAAACUCAUCAGUUAUCAUUUAUCUCAGUUAUAGUAUAUGG